AUUUUCUCAUUGAUUUCAAGGAGAGUUGCACUACUGCUGGUAUUUACAAAGAAGUUACCAUACUUCCACAGAGGAAAAGAAAAAGUUGAACUCCCAACAGCCGUGGUUCCAGGAGGUGAAAUGAAUUUCAAUGAGAGAUUCACCACAGCUGGUGUACGGAAACAAGUGCUUCUAACUCCAUCUGGAAAAGAGGUAGAAAAUGGAACUUCUCCCAAAGAUGCAGUCAGAAGAGGUGAAGUAAUACUGAAAGUAUGAAGUCGCAUGUCUUUCCUUCUCUGAGCAAACCUCCCAUUUAGCAGAUUGCAUUUUCCCAUUAGCUUCGAUGGAAGAUUCACUGCGGCUGAUGGAGCAGUUUGCCUUCUCCUCGUGGUGAUUUCCAUGAGAGCCUCAACCCCGCUGGUGCAUGAAGAAAGUGCUUCUAACUCCACAGGAGAAGAGAUAGAAAGUGGAACUUAUCCCAAAACAUGCAGUGAA
This is a long non-coding RNA of Sorex araneus (European shrew), 474 nucleotides long. RefSeq lists it as uncharacterized. The record is from RefSeq and is a predicted model, not a curated record. The transcript has 3 exons. NCBI's taxonomy places the organism in Eukaryota, Metazoa, Chordata, Mammalia, Eulipotyphla, Soricidae.